GAUGAAGAACGUAGCGAAAUGCGAUAAGUAACGUGAAUUGCAGAAUUCAGUGAAUCAUCGAAUCUUUGAACGCACAUUGCGCUCCCUGGUAUUCCGGGGAGCAUGCCUGUUCGAGCGUCAUUACAACCCUCAAGCUCUGCUUGGUGUUGGGCCCCGCCGCCCCGGCGGGCCCUAAAGUCAGUGGCGGUGCCGUCCGGCUCCGAGCGUAGUAAUUUUUCUCGCUUUGGAGGCCCGGGCGCGUGCUCGCCAUCAACCCCCAAUUUUUUUCAGGUUGACCUCGGAUCAGGUAGGGAUACCCGCUGAACUUAAGCAUAUCAAUAAGCGGAGGA
Molecule: unclassified non-coding RNA, 329 nt
Filed under: soil metagenome
Description: partial contains 5.8S ribosomal RNA, internal transcribed spacer 2, and large subunit ribosomal RNA
Rfam family: 5.8S ribosomal RNA (bases 1-120)
Source: RNAcentral